RNAcentral lists this ribosomal RNA (450 nucleotides) under uncultured bacterium. RNAcentral describes it as "partial 16S ribosomal RNA". It matches the Rfam family "Bacterial small subunit ribosomal RNA", at positions 354 to 796 of the family's 1533-position model. The record is from RNAcentral.
GUGGGGAAUAUUGCACAAUGGGCGCAAGCCUGAUGCAGCCAUGCCGCGUGUGUGAAGAAGGCCUUCGGGUUGUAAAGCACUUUCAGCGGGGAGGAAGGCAAUACGGUUAAUAACCGUGUUGAUUGACGUUACCCGCAGAAGAAGCACCGGCUAACUCCGUGCCAGCAGCCGCGGUAAUACGGAGGGUGCAAGCGUUAAUCGGAAUUACUGGGCGUAACGCGCACGCAGGCGGGCUGUCAAGUCGGAUGUGAAAUCCCCGGGCUCAACCUGGGAACUGCAUUCGAAACUGGCAGGCUUGAGUCUUGUAGAGGGGGGUAGAAUUCCAGGUGUAGCGGUGAAAUGCGUAGAGAUCUGGAGGAAUACCGGUGGCGAAGGCGGCCCCCUGGACAAAGACUGACGCUCAGGUGCGAAAGCGUGGGGAGCAAACAGGAUUAGAUACCCGAGUAGUCC